This 497-nucleotide ribosomal RNA is filed under the name uncultured bacterium. Its description in RNAcentral is "partial 16S ribosomal RNA". It matches the Rfam family "Bacterial small subunit ribosomal RNA", at positions 28 to 507 of the family's 1533-position model. The record is from RNAcentral.
GAUGAACGCUGGCGGCGUGCCUAACACAUGCAAGUCGAACGGAAGGACGAUAAGCUUGUGUCGUUGAUGUUUGCGGCGGGCGGGUGUGUCACGCGUGGAUCCCCUACUUAUAUUUCUGGGAUAACUUCGAGACAGCGGCUCUUAUACCAGAUAAUAUUUUGCACCGCGGGGGGCAAAGGAGAAUGACGGUCUUUGUGUCUGUUAUCGCUGGUUCCGAGCUGCAUUAGCUAGUUGGUAAGGUCACAGCGUACCAAGGCUACGAUGCGUGGCCGACCUGAGAGGCGGAUCGGCCACACUGGAAGGUAGACACGGUCCAGACUCCUACGGGAGGGAGCAGUAGGGAAUCUGAGGCAAUGGGCGAAAGCAUGACGCAGUAAGGGCGAGUGUGUGAUGAAGGCCUUCGGAUCGUAAAGAUCUGUUAUGGGGGAAGAACAGAUGUGGAAGGAAACGAGGACAUCGUGACGGUACUUAAUCAAAAAGCAACGGCUAACUACGUG